RNAcentral lists this ribosomal RNA (433 nucleotides) under uncultured bacterium. RNAcentral's name for it is "partial 16S ribosomal RNA". It matches the Rfam family "Bacterial small subunit ribosomal RNA", at positions 29 to 507 of the family's 1533-position model. The record is from RNAcentral.
AACGAACGCUGGCGGCAUGCCUAACACAUGCAAGUCGAACGAGCCCUUCGGGUCUAGUGGCGCACGGGUGCGUAACGCGUGGGAACCUGCCCUUAGGUUCGGACUAACUCCCCGAAAGGGGUGCUUAUACCGGAUCAUGUCUUCGGCCCAAAGAUUUAUCGCCUUUGGAUGGUCCCGCGUUGGAUUAGCUAGUUGGUAGGGUAAAAGCCUACCAAGGCGACGAUCCAUAGCUGGUCUGAGAGGAUGAUCAGCCACACUGGGACUGAGACACGGCCCAGACUCCUACGGGAGGCAGCAGUGGGGAAUAUUGGACAAUGGGCGAAAGCCUGAUCCAGCAAUGCCGCGUGAGUGAUGAAGGCCUUAGGGUUGUAAAGCUCUUUUACCCGGGAUGAUAAUGACAGUACCGGGAGAAUAAGCCACGGCUAACUCCGUG